This is a long non-coding RNA of Hemicordylus capensis (graceful crag lizard), 937 nucleotides long. RefSeq lists it as uncharacterized. NCBI's taxonomy places the organism in Eukaryota, Metazoa, Chordata, Lepidosauria, Squamata, Cordylidae. The record is from RefSeq and is a predicted model, not a curated record. The transcript has 2 exons.
UCUCCCUUCUGGCUCUGCUUUGCCCUUGUGAGUACAUGCAAGCAGCCUGCCUUGCAAGCAUGGACAUGGUGAGGGAAGAGAGAAAAGCCUCAAAUACAUGCCACCGUGCCAUCAUGGACAAUGCCAGCGCAGUGCCUGACAUCUCGUGAGUGAGCAAACGGGCACACCCAGCACAAGGGCACAGGGCAUAGCAGCACCUGGCCAGUCCAAGAAGAGGAGCAACAAUAGUGCCUCAGUCAGUCUGCCUGCCUGCCUGGGUCCUUGCUGCCUGCCUGAGAGAGGGGCAGCUGGUGAGAGAAGUGGAGGAGAAGGACAAGGAGGAGAGAAAGGACAGAGGACCCUCACAUUACUCACCAGCAAAGAGGCGUCUGACAAAUGGUGGAGCCUGGGUGAAGUGGGUGGGGUGGGCGAGAUUGGACUAGAACCUGAAUAGGAGUCCUUGGCUGAGCCAUGUCUGCUGAGUGGAGACUACAGCAGAUCUGAACAGUUAUAAACAGCAGGUGUCAUCUGAAGUGAAAACAGAGAACACACCGUGUUGUUUACCAAGUGGAUUUCAUCUUAUUGUUCCAAUGAAAAAAAUGUCCUGUGAUCCUCUUAGCCUUUGGAAUACAAUCAAGUGUAAUACAAUCUGUAUUGAGCAGGUAGCAGAGCACUUGGUGUGCAUCUUUACUCUAUAGAAGAAUAGUUCUUUGAUACUGCUUGCUACCAUCACAUGAUUAAAAAGAACAAUUGGACCUGUGUUGCAAUCAGAGCUAUACUGAAUAUUCUGUUACUUCGGCUUCUGUUUUAUUUCUAGCCUUAUGCUUACCUGGCAUAGGGAGCCAACUUUAGAUAAUAUACUAUAGUCCUAUAUUUUAUUUUGUCAGUUAAGGGCCAAAUACAUAUUUUAAUGGUUAUUCAUCAAAAUGUUAAAAAUUGAAUUAAAAUGUCCCUCGAA